GUACACUCCUACGGGAGGCAGCAGUGGGGAAUAUUGGACAAUGGGCGCAAGCCUGAUCCAGCCAUGCCGCGUGAGUGAUGAAGGCCCUAGGGUUGUAAAGCUCUUUCACCGGUGAAGAUAAUGACGGUAACCGGAGAAGAAGCCCCGGCUAACUUCGUGCCAGCAGCCGCGGUAAUACGAAGGGGGCUAGCGUUGUUCGGAUUUACUGGGCGUAAAGCGCACGUAGGCGGACUAUUAAGUCAGGGGUGAAAUCCCGGGGCUCAACCCCGGAACUGCCUUUGAUACUGGUAGUCUUGAGUUCGAGAGAGGUGAGUGGAAUUCCGAGUGUAGAGGUGAAAUUCGUAGAUAUUCGGAGGAACACCAGUGGCGAAGGCGGCUCACUGGCUCGAUACUGACGCUGAGGUGCGAAAGCGUGGGGAGCAAACAGGAUUAGAUACCCCGGUAGUCCC
RNAcentral lists this ribosomal RNA (449 nucleotides) under uncultured organism. RNAcentral's name for it is "partial 16S ribosomal RNA". It matches the Rfam family "Bacterial small subunit ribosomal RNA", at positions 331 to 797 of the family's 1533-position model. The record is from RNAcentral.